Molecule: long non-coding RNA, 1029 nt
Filed under: Sarcophilus harrisii (Tasmanian devil)
Lineage: Eukaryota; Metazoa; Chordata; Mammalia; Dasyuromorphia; Dasyuridae
Description: lncRNA (ENSSHAG00000025645.1)
Source: RNAcentral
UGGAAACGGAGGCUGAAACAUGAAGAAGGCGAUUUCUCCCGAUUUCUCCCACUUUCUCCCCACUCCCACUUACUGAACCUCACCUCCGCACGUGCAAUAGGACCAUCCACAGUAAAAUGGCGGUUGACAUCAAGGGACUACAAUUCCCAUGAAAGCAUUAGAUUGAGGGCGGAAAUGACCUUAAUCCACCAAAGGCCAUGUUGGAAAAGGGCAGCUGCUCCAGUAUCGGAGUAAUGGAAAAAUCUGAAAAAAGACAGUGAAGUGAAAAAAAGCUGGCGGUGUGAAGAUUGGUGAGUGUUUUUGUCGCCAUUCCUCAGGGAAUAUAUUCUCCGACGAUUUUCCGUAGGUACGCCAGGUAAUCGCGGUCCCACGAAGCAAAAAUAAAAAAAAGACGGCCGCCAUUGUUCUUUUCUGGGAAACUCCGCCCCCGUCCGGGGGUGAACACGUGAGGGAUUUAGAACGGAAGUGACGACACGAUCGCAUUGUUAAAUAAGACGCGCGAGAGGCGUUCUCUCUCUUCUUCUUAGCGCCAUCUUGUCGACUCCCAUUGCGCCAUGAGAGCCAAGUGGAGGAAGAAGCGAAUGCGUAGGCUGAAACGCAAGAGGAGAAAGAUGAGGCAGAGGUCCAAGUAAACAGAUUGUGCUGACCACAGGCCACAAAAGCAGGGAUGAAAUGACCCUUGGUGACACUGUCGGGAAGGCGGAGAGCUCCGGGCAACACGACCCACCCCUCGGAAGAACUGCUGGCGAUACCAUCUGAUAAAGGGUUCUCACCACCGUUUGACGCCUGCCUGACGAGCGCAUGCCAUCUUCCAAUGCCUGUUCCAUCUUUUGCACAGAUUCCAUCUGCCUGCCUCCCGAUUUCUGUGCCAUGGGACUCUUGUCAUUCUGGACUGAUUUGUCUGUGGCUCAGUGUUAGCACAUCUGUAUAAUAAAUCCUCGCUACUUUCUUGUUCGGAAAAAAAAUGAGCUUGUGUGUUAUUUCAAAGCCUGGUUUCCUAUUGGUGACGCGAUAUAAAGGAAACGCAGA